RNAcentral lists this ribosomal RNA (249 nucleotides) under uncultured bacterium. Its description in RNAcentral is "partial 16S ribosomal RNA". It matches the Rfam family "Bacterial small subunit ribosomal RNA", at positions 57 to 305 of the family's 1533-position model. The record is from RNAcentral.
GCAAGCCGAACGGCAAGUUGAGUAGCAAUACCCAACCUAGAGUGGCGUAAGGGUGCGUAACACGUAUGCAAUCUACCCUCAACCAAGGGAUAGCUCACCGAAAGGGGAAUUAAUACUUUAUGGUAUCACAAUUGAGCAUUCUUUUGUGAUUAAACUUAAGGGUCGAGGAUGAGCAUGCGCCUGAUUAGUUAGUUGGUAGUGUAACGGACUACCAAGACGAUGAUCAGUAGGGGAACUGAGAGGUUGGUC